RNAcentral lists this ribosomal RNA (421 nucleotides) under Cryptosporidium parvum. RNAcentral describes it as "SSU rRNA". It matches the Rfam family "Eukaryotic small subunit ribosomal RNA", at positions 419 to 864 of the family's 1831-position model. Lineage: Eukaryota; Apicomplexa; Conoidasida; Eucoccidiorida; Cryptosporidiidae. The record is from RNAcentral.
AGGAAGGCAGCAGGCGCGCAAAUUACCCAAUCCUAAUACAGGGAGGUAGUGACAAGAAAUAACAAUUCAGGACUUUUUGGUUUUGUAAUUGGAAUGAGUUAAGUAUAAACCCCUUUACAAGUAUCAAUUGGAGGGCAAGUCUGGUGCCAGCAGCCGCGGUAAUUCCAGCUCCAAUAGCGUAUAUUAAAGUUGUUGCAGUUAAAAAGCUCGUAGUUGGAUUUCUGUUAAUAAUUUAUAUAAAAUAUUUUAAUUAAUAUUUAUAUAAUAUUAACAUAAUUCAUAUUACUAUAAUUAUUUUUUAGUAUAUGAAAUUUUACUUUGAGAAAAUUAGAGUGCUUAAAGCAGGCAUAUGCCUUGAAUACUCCAGCAUGGAAUAAUAUUAAAGAUUUUUAUCUUUCUUAUUGGUUCUAAGAUAAGAAUA